UACAGAGGGUGCAAGCGUUAAUCGGAAUUACUGGGCGUAAAGCGCACGUAGGCGGUUUUUUAAGUCAGAUGUGAAAGCCCCGGGCUCAACCUGGGAAUUGCAUUUGAAACUGGAAAACUAGAGUGUGUGAGAGGGGGGUAGAAUUCCAAGUGUAGCGGUGAAAUGCGUAGAUAUUGCUCGGAAGGCCAGAGCCGAAGGGGCCCUACUGGUGCGCAACUGACACUGAGGCACGAAAGCGUGGGGAGCAAACAGGAUUAGAAACCCUGGUAGU
Molecule: ribosomal RNA, 271 nt
Filed under: uncultured bacterium
Lineage: Bacteria
Description: partial 16S ribosomal RNA
Rfam family: Bacterial small subunit ribosomal RNA
Source: RNAcentral